UUGCAAUAGUAAAAUAAUUUCAAAACUUUUUAAUGAUGAGUGAUGGAAACUUGUUUUGGCAGAAUCAGCGCAUGAGAUUGCCUUGGAGAAGGCUGGGGAAGAUGUUUGGGCCCUUAUUAAAGCUGCAUGGACAUAAAUAGAUAUGCAGGAGUACAGCUUGUGGUCUAUGUUUCAUCCCAAUAUUACCUGACUGGCUUUAUGUCAGUAGAAGGCAUAAUAUCCUUCUGGCUUCCAAAGUUUCUCACUUAAAAGUUUCUGCAUUUUGGUGGAGUCUCAGCUGUUACAGCUGAGUGCAAAAGACUUGUAAAGGUAAGAGAAAGUGAGCAGUGUGUAAGAGUUGGGGAAUCCUAGAUAUUUAUCUAACAAGAUAUUCAUCUUUUGAGCAGAAAUGUUCAUGUGCAGGAAGCUUUAGCUGAAGUAAAUUAAAAGGCUUUAGGCUGUGCUUAGAUUAAGACACUAUUUCUUCACCCAGCAGUAUCAAUGCUGACAGAGCUGUGUAGGAACAGAAGGAUUUGUGCUUUAUCCUGACCCAGGCAGCACCAGCAGAAAGGUCAGCCAGUGGUCAUAUCAUGGAGCUGAAUGCUUUCACAGACUGAAACUUUGUGCCUCAAGG
This 613-nucleotide long non-coding RNA is filed under the name Junco hyemalis (dark-eyed junco). RNAcentral's name for it is "lncRNA (ENSJHYG00000007025.1)". The record is from RNAcentral. Lineage: Eukaryota; Metazoa; Chordata; Aves; Passeriformes; Passerellidae.